Molecule: ribosomal RNA, 371 nt
Filed under: uncultured organism
Description: partial 16S ribosomal RNA
Rfam family: Bacterial small subunit ribosomal RNA
Source: RNAcentral
GUAGGUGGCAAGCGUUGUCCGGAAUUAUUGGGCGUAAAGCGCGCGCAGGCUGUUCUUUAAGUCUGAUGUGAAAGCCCACGGCUCAACCGUGGAGGGUCAUUGGAAACUGGAGAACUUGAGUACAGAAGAGGAAAGCGGAAUUCCACGUGUAGCGGUGAAAUGCGUAGAGAUGUGGAGGAACACCAGUGGCGAAGGCGGCUUUCUGGUCUAUAACUGACGCUGAGGCGCGAAAGCGUGGGGGAGCAAACAGGAUUAGAUACCCUGGUAGUCCACGCCGUAAACGAUGAGUGCUAAGUGUUAGGGGGUUUCCGCCCCUUAGUGCUGCAGCUAACGCAUUAAGCACUCCGCCUGGGAGUACGGCCGCAAGGCUG